Molecule: long non-coding RNA, 815 nt
Filed under: Coffea arabica (coffee)
Lineage: Eukaryota; Viridiplantae; Streptophyta; Magnoliopsida; Gentianales; Rubiaceae
Description: long non-coding RNA (CARA_LNC005875)
Source: RNAcentral
UAUUGUAUUAAAAUUUGCCAUAUGUGAUUACUGAAAUCUCAAAGUAGCAGAAAAAUCAUGAGUUGUCCAGAUUUGCAUACCCUUUUGUCCGACUUUUAGUGUUUACAUCUAACGUUUUAUGCUGCAAAGUGAGAGGAUUAGAUGGUUGUCUCGUUGUUUUAGUUCAUAUUGAAUUUAAGUGUGUUUGAGAGCUGCUGAGAGCUUGCGGAUAAAAAUUGCAAAAGGAUAGCUUCAUUUGCAGAAAUAAGAACAAAGAAAGCCUCGUGGCAUGCAUGAAAAACUUUCUAAAAUUGUAGUUUGAUCCCUCAAUUUUCUCUUUAUUUCACUAUGGCCCUAAAAACUUUUAACUUCUUUCAAUUGGGUCCCAAGUCUAAUUGCAAAUGGAUCCCUAAACUGUAUUUUUCUUUAAUUUUGACCCCAAAAAUUUGUUAAUUUUUGCAAUCAAGUCCUACUUGUUUUAAUUUCUUCAAUGUAGGUUGUUUACAUGAAUUAAUUGAUUCAAUUUCAUGUUUAUUUUCAAUUCCAUAAUUAUUUGUCAAUUAAAGCGAUGCUUUGACCCUUUCUUUUAUUUUGGAGGGUAAAUAAGUGAUUUCACUUCAUUAGGGACCUAACUCAAAGGAGGUACACCCUAUCUCUCAUUUCUUAUUUUAUUUGACCCUACGUGCCUUAUGUGACUUUACGUGUUUAAUUGCAUGUCUCUUGAAUAUUUUUAUUUAUUAUUCAUUUCAUUCAUUUAUUUAUUUUUCUUAAUUGGCUUUAAUUUUAUAUAUUUAUUUAAUUUAAUUUGUAAUUAUUUGGAGAAAGCAAUUAAAUGC